Molecule: long non-coding RNA, 204 nt
Filed under: Fukomys damarensis (Damara mole-rat)
Lineage: Eukaryota; Metazoa; Chordata; Mammalia; Rodentia; Bathyergidae
Description: lncRNA (ENSFDAG00000022482.1)
Source: RNAcentral
CACUUUUCUCUUCAGCUAAGCAUCAGGAAAUCUUGUCACUCCCUGAGUCUUCCAGGUCUAUCUGGGAGUAAGGCUGGGUCCAGCUCCUACUGGGUCACUGUUCUGGUCUUUUCUGGUUGAAGGAUCCUCGACUCCAGACCUUGCUACUGCUUGGCUGCCAUACCUGAUUCUGCCCGUCCCAUCCCUAUCUCCUCUGUCUGGGCC